GAUGAACGCUGGCGGCGUGCCUAAUACAUGCAAGUCGAGCGGACGGACGAGAAGCUCGCUUCUCUGAGGGUAGCGGCGGGCGGGUGAGUAACGCGUGGAUAACCAACCUAUAUGACUGGGGUGACUACGGGAAACCGUAUAUAAUACCAGAGAAUAUUUUGAACCGCAGGGAUCAAGAGUGAAUGACGGUCUUGCUGUCACUAAUAGAUGGAUCCGGGUUGCAUUAGCUAGUUGGUAAGGUAACGGCACACCAAGGCAACGAUGCGUAGCUGAUCUGAGAGGAUGAUCAGCCACACUGGAACUGAGACACGGUCCAGACUCCUACGGGAGGCAGCAGUGGGGAAUCUUGCACAAUGGGCGCAAGCCUGAUCGAGCCAUGCCGCGUGGGUGAUGAAGGCCUUCGGGUCGUAAAGCCCUUUUGUUGGGAAAGAACAGCAGCGGGAUAAUCCCCCGCUGUCCUGACGGUACCCAAAGAGAAAGCACCGGCUAACUUCGUG
This 497-nucleotide ribosomal RNA is filed under the name uncultured bacterium. RNAcentral's name for it is "partial 16S ribosomal RNA". It matches the Rfam family "Bacterial small subunit ribosomal RNA", at positions 28 to 507 of the family's 1533-position model. The record is from RNAcentral.